GGGGCCCUAGUAAAUCAUUACCUAGCACUGUCAGCGCUAAAUAAUAGGUGAAACACCUAUGGACCCCC
Molecule: transfer RNA, 68 nt
Filed under: Gonatodes albogularis (yellow-headed gecko)
Lineage: Eukaryota; Metazoa; Chordata; Lepidosauria; Squamata; Sphaerodactylidae
Description: tRNA-Asp
Source: RNAcentral